GAUGAACGCUGGCGGCGUGCCUAAUACAUGCAAGUCGAGCGAACAGACGAGGAGCUUGCUCCUCUGACGUUAGCGGCGGACGGGUGAGUAACACGUGGAUAACCUACCUAUAAGACUGGGAUAACUUCGGGAAACCGGAGCUAAUACCGGAUGAUAUAUUGAACCGCAUGGUUCAAUAGUGAAAGACGGUUUUGCUGUCACUUAUAGAUGGAUCCGCGCAGCAUUAGCUAGUUGGUAAGGUAACGGCUUACCAAGGCAACGAUGCAUAGCCGACCUGAGAGGGUGAUCGGCCACACUGGAACUGAGACACGGUCCAGACUCCUACGGGAGGCAGCAGUAGGGAAUCUUCCGCAAUGGGCGAAAGCUUGACGGAGCAACGCCGCGUGAGUGAUGAAGGUCUUCGGAUCGUAAAACUCUGUUAUUAGGGAAGAACAAAUGUGUAAGUAACUAUGCACGUCUUGACGGUACCUAAUCAGAAAGCCACGGCUAACUACGUG
RNAcentral lists this ribosomal RNA (497 nucleotides) under uncultured bacterium. RNAcentral describes it as "partial 16S ribosomal RNA". It matches the Rfam family "Bacterial small subunit ribosomal RNA", at positions 28 to 507 of the family's 1533-position model. The record is from RNAcentral.